GGAGAGGCCGUAGCUUUGACCUCCCCCUGUGAGGUGUGCUCCUCCGAACCGCCAGUCCUGCCUGUCGCAAUGGUCCAGUCCGUUCUGGAGGGGAGGAGCUCUGCUGCCUCCAUGGUGGAGAGGAGGACCAAGAGACCCACCCUGGACAGAGUGGAGGUUUCCGACACAGUGGAGAAUGUAGAAAUGAGCCUGGAGGAGCUGCAGCAGCUGCUGCUCAGGAGCCAUCAGCAGAGUACUGUGGAAACUGGGACCAGUUCUGUUAUGGACCCCUUCAGUCUAAGCCUACCUCUGACUGAGUGGAACUUCACAGAGAUGGAGUCCAACCUCAAAUCAUACAUGUUCCAGAAUCAGGAAGCGGAGGCUUUUCCAGCUGCCGGCUGUGAAGAACAGUGACUGAUCUGCCCU
RNAcentral lists this long non-coding RNA (405 nucleotides) under Echeneis naucrates (live sharksucker). RNAcentral's name for it is "lncRNA (ENSENLG00000012150.1)". Lineage: Eukaryota; Metazoa; Chordata; Actinopteri; Carangiformes; Echeneidae. The record is from RNAcentral.